AUCUAUGGGCAUACCACUCUAAAUGUGCCCAAUCUUAUCUGAUCCCAUGAAGCUAAGCAGGGUUUGGCGCUGAUUAGUAGUAGGAUGGGCGACCAGAGAGGUAAGAUAAUGGAAU
Molecule: ribosomal RNA, 115 nt
Filed under: Microcebus murinus (gray mouse lemur)
Lineage: Eukaryota; Metazoa; Chordata; Mammalia; Primates; Cheirogaleidae
Source: RNAcentral